This 506-nucleotide ribosomal RNA is filed under the name uncultured bacterium. Its description in RNAcentral is "bacterial SSU rRNA". It matches the Rfam family "Bacterial small subunit ribosomal RNA", at positions 26 to 518 of the family's 1533-position model. The record is from RNAcentral.
AGGGUGAACGCUAGCUACAGGCUAACACAUGCAAGUCGAGGGGCAGCAUGAAACUUAGCUUGCUAAGUUUGAUGGCGACCGGCGCACGGGGUGAGUAACACGUAUCCAACCUACCGUUUACUACGGGAUAGCCUUCUGAAAAAGGAGAUUAAUACCGUAUGGCAUUCUAAAGUUUCAUGACAUUAGAAUUAAAGGUUUACCGGUAAUCGAUGGGGAUGCGUUCCAUUAGAUAGUAGGCGGGGUAACGGCCCACCUAGUCAGCGAUGGAUAGGGGUUCUGAGAGGAAGGUCCCCCACAUUGGAACUGAGACACGGUCCAAACUCCUACGGGAGGCAGCAGUGAGGAAUAUUGGUCAAUGGGCGAGAGCCUGAACCAGCCAAGUAAGCGUGAAGGAUGACUGCCCUAUGGGUUGUAAACUUCUUUUAUAAAGGAAUAAAGUGGUCCACGUGUGGAUUUUUGUAUGUACUUUAUGAAUAAGGAUCGGCUAACUCCGUGCCAGCCGCAGC